AACGAACGCUGGCGGCAGGCCUAACACAUGCAAGUCGAGCGGACCCUUCGGGGUUAGCGGCGGACGGGUGAGUAACGCGUGGGAAUAUGCCCUUCUCUACGGAAUAGUCCUGGGAAACUGGGGGUAAUACCGUAUACGCCCUUUGGGGGAAAGAUUUAUCGGGGAAGGAUUAGCCCGCGUUGGAUUAGGUAGUUGGUGGGGUAAUGGCCUACCAAGCCGACGAUCCAUAGCUGGUUUGAGAGGAUGAUCAGCCACACUGGGACUGAGACACGGCCCAGACUCCUACGGGAGGCAGCAGUGGGGAAUCUUAGACAAUGGGGGCAACCCUGAUCUAGCCAUGCCGCGUGAGUGAUGAAGGCCUUAGGGUUGUAAAGCUCUUUCAGCUAGGAAGAUAAUGACGGUACCAGCAGAAGAAGCCCCGGCUAACUCCGUG
This 433-nucleotide ribosomal RNA is filed under the name uncultured bacterium. RNAcentral's name for it is "partial 16S ribosomal RNA". It matches the Rfam family "Bacterial small subunit ribosomal RNA", at positions 29 to 507 of the family's 1533-position model. The record is from RNAcentral.